GAUGAAGAACGCAGCGAACCGCGAUAAGUAAUGUGAAUUGCAGAAUUCAGUGAAUCAUCGAGUCUUUGAACGCACAUUGCGCCCCCUGGCAUUCCGGGGGGCAUGCCUGUCCGAGCGUCAUUGCUGCCCUUCAAGCCCGGCUUGUGUGUUGGGUCGUCGUCCCCCCCGGGGGACGGGCCCGAAAGGCAGCGGCGGCACCGCGUCCGGUCCUCGAGCGUAUGGGGCUUUGUCACCCGCUCGAUUAGGGCCGGCCGGGCGCCAGCCGGCGUCUCCAACCUUCUAUUUUACCAGGUUGACCUCGGAUCAGGUAGGGAUACCCGCUGAACUUAAGCAUAUCAAUAAGCGGAGGA
Molecule: unclassified non-coding RNA, 350 nt
Filed under: soil metagenome
Description: partial contains 5.8S ribosomal RNA, internal transcribed spacer 2, and large subunit ribosomal RNA
Rfam family: 5.8S ribosomal RNA (bases 1-120)
Source: RNAcentral